This 463-nucleotide ribosomal RNA is filed under the name uncultured bacterium. RNAcentral's name for it is "bacterial SSU rRNA". It matches the Rfam family "Bacterial small subunit ribosomal RNA", at positions 28 to 507 of the family's 1533-position model. The record is from RNAcentral.
GACGAACGCUGGCGGCGUGCUUAACACAUGCAAGUCGAACGGUGACGAGGAGCUUGCUCCUCUGAUCAGUGGCGAACGGGUGAGUAACACGUGGGCAACCUGCCCCUGACUUCGGGAUAACGCUUCGAAAGAGGUGCUAAUACCGGAUAUGAGUCCCUCCGGCAUCUGAGGGACUGGAAAGUUUUUCGGUCAGGGAUGGGCCCGCGGCCUAUCAGCUUGUUGGUGAGGUAACGGCUCACCAAGGCGACGACGGGUAGCCGGCCUGAGAGGGUGACCGGCCACACUGGGACUGAGACACGGCCCAGACUCCUACGGGGGGCAGCAGUGGGGGAUCUUGCACAAUGGGCGAAAGCCUGAUGCAGCGACGCCGCGUGAGCGAAGAAGGCCUUCGGGUUGUAAAGCUCUGUCUGGAGGGACGAACAAAAUGACGGUACCUCCGGAGGAAGCCACGGCUAACUACGUG